CAGGCCUAACACAUGCGAGUCGAACGCGAAAGGGACUUCGGUCCUUAGUAGAGUGGCGCACGGGUGAGUAACGCGUGGGAACGUACCCUGGAGUGGGGAAUAACCAUUGGAAACGAUGGUUAAUACCGCAUAAUGUCUUCGGACCAAAGAUUUAUCGCUCUUGGAUCGGCCCGCGUUAGAUUAGUUUGUUGGUGGGGUAAUGGCCUACCAAGACUACGAUCUAUAGCUGGUUUGAGAGGACGACCAGCCACACUGGGACUGAGACACGGCCCAGACUCCUACGGGAGGCAGCAGUGGGGAAUAUUGGACAAUGGGCGCAAGCCUGAUCCAGCCAUGCCGCGUGAGUGAUGAAGGCCUUAGGGUUGUAAAGCUCUUUCAACGGUGAAGAUGAUGACGGUAACCGUAGAAGAAGCCCCGGCUAACUUCGUGCCAGCCGCCGCAGUAA
Molecule: ribosomal RNA, 445 nt
Filed under: uncultured bacterium
Lineage: Bacteria
Description: partial 16S ribosomal RNA
Rfam family: Bacterial small subunit ribosomal RNA
Source: RNAcentral